RNAcentral lists this ribosomal RNA (440 nucleotides) under uncultured bacterium. RNAcentral's name for it is "bacterial SSU rRNA". It matches the Rfam family "Bacterial small subunit ribosomal RNA", at positions 338 to 775 of the family's 1533-position model. The record is from RNAcentral.
CCUACGGGGGGCUGCAGUAAGGAAUAUUGGUCAAUGGACGAAAGUCUGAACCAACCAUGCCGCGUGAAGGAUGAAGGUCCUCUGGAUUGUAAACUUCUUUUAUCUGGGACGAAAAAAGGUCAUUCCUGACCACUUGACGGUACCAGAGGAAUAAGCACCGGCUAACUCCGUGCCAGCAGCCGCGGUAAUACGGAGGGUGCAAGCGUUAUCCGGAAUUAUUGGGCGUAAAGCGUCCGCAGGCGGUUUCGUAAGUCUGUCUUUAAAGAGUGGAGCUUAACUCCAUAAAGGGGAUGGAAACUGCGAGACUAGAGGUAGGUAGGGGUAGAAGGAAUUCCCAGUGUAGCGGUGAAAUGCGUAGAUAUUGGGAAGAACACCAGCAGCGAAGGCGUUCUACUGGACCAAACCUGACGCUCAUGGACGAAAGCUAGGGGAGCGAAAGG